CGACUGGGGGAUGGCUCGGCUCGAGAGCCGAAGAAGGUCGUGACAAGCUGCGAAAAGUUGCGGGGAGAGGCAUGAAUCUCUUGGAUCCGCAAAUUGCUGAAUAGGACCUCCUGGCACUCUGUGCCAUUCCUAAAUGGAAAGGGAACCUCCUGAACUGAAGCAUCUCAGUAGGGAGAGGAAAAGAAAUCAAAUGAGAUUCCGUGAGUAGUGGCGAAUGAAAACGGAAUAGGACAAACCGAAUCCCCAUGGGAAACCAUGGGGAGAUGUGGGGUUUGGACCGUCUAUUGUCUAAGUUAUGGAAAUAGAAGUCGCCUGGAACGGCGCACCAUAGUGGGUGAAAGUCCCGUAUAUGUACAUAAUAUGACCAAGUGACGAGUCCAGAGUAGCGUGCGUUGGAUAUCGCGCGUGAAGAUGGGAGGCAGGAACUUCCAAUCCUGAAUACUACUCGAGACCGAUAGUUGACAAGUAGCGUGAGCGAAAGCUGAAAAGUAUCCUUAGCGGGAUGUGAAAAGAACCUGAAACCAGUCGGGAACAAGCUGAAUAGGCGUGAAAGCGAAGAUAUGAGCAGCGUCUAUUCGUGCGUUUCGAAUAAUGCCCCUGGGAGUUCUGAUUAAUGGCGAGGUUAAGGAGUUGAUCUCCGAAGCCGAAGGGAAACCGAAAGGUCCGCAGCCGCUUAGGCGGUGAGGGACUGGGUGUGCUCGCCCGGAGUCAUUAGUGGGAGACCUGAAGCCUGUCGAUCUAUGCCUGGCCAGAUUGAAGCCCGAUGAAAGUUGGGUGGAGGAUCACACCGUUGCUGAUGUGCAAAUCGCUCGGAUGAGCUGGGUAUAGGGGUGAAAGUCCAAUCGAGACGGGCAAUAGCAGGUUCCGCGCGAGACUACUCGUAGGUAGAUCUUCGUGGAGGUAGAUAACGAUGUAGAGCACUGAUUGGGUAUUUAGGGGGAGCGAUCCCUCGGUACGCUGUCAAACUCCGAAGUUGUUAUCGCCGUAGAAGCGAGGAGUGAGCCACGGUGGGUAAGCUACCGUGACGAAAGGUGAAGAAACCAGCUCAGUGUUAAGGUCCCAAAAUUACAGUUAAGUGUUAAUCACAAACGGCGUCCGUGGUCGAAGACAACCAGAAGGUGGGCUUAGAGGCAGCCAUCCUUGAAAGAGUUCGUAACAGAUCACUGGUCAAGCUUACGGGCCCGAAAAAUGGACGGGACUCAAACUGUAUACCGAUACACUGAUCCUUCGAAAGAAGAUGAGGUAGCGCGGCGAUGUGCUCGGGUAGAAGCUAGGUUUUGAGAUCUAGUGGACCGUGUACAUAUGAGAAUCUAGGGAAGAGUAGCAGCAUAGUGCGGUGAGAAACCGCACCACCGAAGGGGUAAGGGUUCCUCGGCAAUGGUUAUCAGCCGAGGGUUAGCCGGUCCUAAGGUCAUUCUUAACCGACAUGAUCGAAAGGGAAUAGCGUUAAUAUUCGUUAGCCCCUCUACAAAAAAUGGUGACGGCUUGGGAUAGUUCGUACGCAUCUGUCAUGGUGCGUCGAAGCGUACAAUAAACAUCUGGAGAACCGUAAUGGUGAGAAAGAUGAGAAGACGUGAGCAAAUGACGAAUGAGUCCUAGGUCCCAUGAAAAACCGUAGAGGUGACCGUACCAAGAACUGACACAGGUACCCAAGGUGAGAAGCCUAAGGUGUGACGGGCAAAGUACCGCGAAGGAACUCGGCAAAAUAGCUCUGUAACUUCGGGAGAAGGAGUGCCAGCUUCGAGAGAAGCUGGUCGCAGUAACAAGGGGACUCCGACUGUUUAAUAAAAACAUAGCCGACUGCUAGAUCGAAAGGUUGUGUAUAGUCGGUGAAUCCUGCUCAGUGCUGGUAUCUGAAACCGGGUUUCAACCUGGCGAAGGACCAGUAAACAGCGGGGGUAACUAUGACCCUCUUAAGGUAGCGUAAUACCUUGUCGCUUAAUUGGCGACUUGCAUGAAUGGCACAACGA
Molecule: ribosomal RNA, 1970 nt
Filed under: Candidatus Poseidoniales archaeon
Lineage: Archaea; Methanobacteriati; Thermoplasmatota; Candidatus Poseidoniia; Candidatus Poseidoniales
Description: partial 23S ribosomal RNA
Rfam family: Archaeal large subunit ribosomal RNA
Source: RNAcentral